ACUUAAAUUGAAGAGUUUGAUCAUGGCUCAGAUUGAACGCUGGCGGCAGGCCUAACACAUGCAAGUCGAGCGGUAGCACAGAGAGCUUGCUCUCGGGUGACGAGCGGCGGACGGGUGAGUAAUGUCUGGGAAACUGCCUGAUGGAGGGGGAUAACUACUGGAAACGGUAGCUAAUACCGCAUAAUGUCGCAAGACCAAAGUGGGGGACCUUCGGGCCUCAUGCCAUCAGAUGUGCCCAGAUGGGAUUAGCUAGUAGGUGGGGUAACGGCUCACCUAGGCGACGAUCCCUAGCUGGUCUGAGAGGAUGACCAGCCACACUGGAACUGAGACACGGUCCAGACUCCUACGGGAGGCAGCAGUGGGGAAUAUUGCACAAUGGGCGCAAGCCUGAUGCAGCCAUGCCGCGUGUGUGAAGAAGGCCUUCGGGUUGUAAAGCACUUUCAGCGGGGAGGAAGGCGGUGAGGUUAAUAACCUCAUCGAUUGACGUUACCCGCAGAAGAAGCACCGGCUAACUCCGUGCCAGCAGCCGCGGUAAUACGGAGGGUGCAAGCGUUAAUCGGAAUUACUGGGCGUAAAGCGCACGCAGGCGGUCUGUCAAGUCGGA
RNAcentral lists this ribosomal RNA (604 nucleotides) under Klebsiella pneumoniae. Its description in RNAcentral is "bacterial SSU rRNA". It matches the Rfam family "Bacterial small subunit ribosomal RNA", at positions 1 to 592 of the family's 1533-position model. The record is from RNAcentral. Lineage: Bacteria; Pseudomonadati; Pseudomonadota; Gammaproteobacteria; Enterobacterales; Enterobacteriaceae.